GACGGAGAUGCAAGUGUUAUCCGGAAUCACUGGGCGUAAAGCGUCCGUAGGUGGUUUAAAAAGUCCACUGUUAAAAAUUGAAGCUUAACUUCAAAGAUGCCGUGGAAACUUUUAAACUUGAGUAUGGUAGGGGUAGAGGGAAUUUCCAGUGGAGCGGUGAGAUGCGUAGAUAUUGGAAAGACCACCAAUGGCGAAGGCACUCUACUGGGCCAUUACUGACACUGAGAGACGAAAGCUAGGGGAGCAAAUGGG
This 252-nucleotide ribosomal RNA is filed under the name uncultured bacterium. RNAcentral describes it as "partial 16S ribosomal RNA". It matches the Rfam family "Bacterial small subunit ribosomal RNA", at positions 524 to 776 of the family's 1533-position model. The record is from RNAcentral.